RNAcentral lists this ribosomal RNA (667 nucleotides) under uncultured cyanobacterium. RNAcentral's name for it is "bacterial SSU rRNA". It matches the Rfam family "Bacterial small subunit ribosomal RNA", at positions 99 to 795 of the family's 1533-position model. Lineage: Bacteria; Bacillati; Cyanobacteriota. The record is from RNAcentral.
CGGACGGGUGAGUAACGCGUGAGAAUUUGCCUUUAGGAGGGGGACAACAACUGGAAACGGUUGCUAAUACCCCAUAUGCUUUCGAGUGAAAUGGAUUUUUCCGCCUAAAGAGAAGCUUGCGGCUGAUUAGCUUGUUGGUGAGGUAAUGGCUCACCAAGGCGACGAUCAGUAUCUGGUUUGAGAGGACGAUCAGACACACUGGAACUGAGACACGGUCCAGACUCCUACGGGAGGCAGCAGUGGGGAAUUUUCCGCAAUGGGCGAAAGCCUGACGGAGCAAUACCGCGUGAGGGAUGACGGCCUAUGGGUUGUAAACCUCUUUUUUCAGGGAGGAAUCAAAUGACGUGUACCUGAAGAAUAAGCAUCGGCUAACUCCGUGCCAGCAGCCGCGGUAAGACGGAGGAUGCAAGUGUUAUCCGGAAUCACUGGGCGUAAAGCGUCUGUAGGUGGUCAAAUAAGUCAACUGUUAAAUCUUGAGGCUUAACCUCAAAAUCGCAGUCGAAACUAUUAGACUAGAGUAUAGUAGGGGUAAAGGGAAUUUCCAGUGGAGCGGUGAAAUGCGUAGAGAUUGGAAAGAACACCGAUGGCGAAGGCACUUUACUGGGCUAUUACUAACACUGAGAGACGAAAGCUAGGGUAGCAAAUGGGAUUAGAUACCCCAGUAGUC